This 2086-nucleotide long non-coding RNA is filed under the name Anthonomus grandis grandis. RNAcentral describes it as "uncharacterized LOC126743764". Lineage: Eukaryota; Metazoa; Arthropoda; Insecta; Coleoptera; Curculionidae. The record is from RNAcentral.
ACCUUAGAACAUUGAAAGGCUAGAAUUAGUAAACAACAACUUUGUUUGAGUCCAACAUGUGCACAGGGGCAAGAGGGGUGUUUUAAUUACAAACAUAUGUGCUGAUUCUCUGUUGUCAAGUCGACACAAAUUUCCAACGGAGGAAAUUUUUAGCUAUAUUUUAACAAACAUUAUAACGUUAAUUUAACUUAUUUCUGUUAUAUUUUAUAGGAAAAUUUAAAAUAAAAAGUAUAAAUACUACAAUUAACCUAUUUUAAGAAUAAAUAUAAUAUCCUUAAGCAAAAAAAAACAAAAUUAUUAACAUUCUUAUCCCUAAAACUGCUUCUAAAAAAUUUGAAGCGACAACACCGGAGCUUAAGCGCCUAAACCAUACGCGUUGUGUCAUCUGUCAAACGGCUCUUUGCUUAUAUUCGGGAUUCGUGUAUUUUCUUUAAUUUUUGGUUUAAAAUGGAAAAAAGGCCACGUUUUAGUGUUUUUUUAAAUUGCUAGGAUGGCAAAAACUUGUGUCGUUUGUCCCGCAUCAUGGUGAUAAACGUGAUUCAAGCCGAUCUUUUCACGAGUAAGUACCGAUACUUUCAUAACAUCACAUCAUGGGGUAACCAUCAUCAUAAACGUAGAAUAGGGGAUCUUAUAGAUAUAAACCUAAUAAAAAUUUGAAUGUGAAAGUGUGCGUAAAAUACCAACAUAUUUAUAUUUUUAAAUCUAAAUAUUUUUUUGAACAUAUUCAUCUAUUAAUAGGCUAUAAAAGAUAUAAAACUAGAAUUUUGUCCCUGGUUUUAUUACAGGAUUUUAUGUUUUUUUUGUUGUUUUGGCAGAAAAAAUGCAUAAUACCUAUGUACCUAUCUAUAUAUAGUUUGAUAUCUAUGUAUAAAGUUAAUUUUGUCUUUCUUUAAAAUUUGUUCCAUAAUUUUUUUUUGUUUUACCUUAUUGCAACUUACAAUAAUAUAUAUAGUAAUUGGCACCACAUAUUAAUUUAUUACUGUAAUUUUUUUCUGCUUUUUGAUUAAAUAUCAAAUACUUAUUAUAGAUUGCCCAAUGAUUAUGCCCAAAGGGAACAAUGGGUUUCAUUAAUGGAAAUCAACACAUUUAAAAAGAACAUAUUUGUUUGUUCAGAUCACAUCCUUAGAAGUGAUAUAAGGGAGAUAAUAUUAUCAGUAGCCAGACUUUAUUAAAAAAAUCAGCUCUACCUCAAAGGAUUUCUGAUGCACUGGUUAAAAACACAGCAGCCAAUAACUCAGUUAAUUUACCAAGUGAUUUACCCUUCAAAGCUACAGGGGUAGCUUUUCUGAAGAGUGCAAAAACUUCUUUAGCUUUCAAAAUGGUAUAUAGUACAAACAGUGAAGCUAAUAUAGACAUAUCUGAUCAUUCAUCAUCAACAAUAACUGCAUCUGAGAAUUAUAGUUCUACAGUAACCGUGGAGUCUAGGUCAAUAAUUACUAUUUCUCAUCCAAGCCGUUUUUGUUUAACUGCUACACAUUCCCUGACUCUGCCAAGGAAAAGGGUAAAAUCAAAAUGAUAUCCUGAGGACCUAAGCACUGAGGAUUCCACCGUUUCAAGAGCUUAAUCACUUGUCACCAGAUUAUGGAAAAAAAAUAAAGAACAAAAAAUUAAAAUUCGAAGAUUGCAACAAGCAAAUUUGCGCCAAAGAAAUUAAAUUAGAUGUCUCAAGUCAUUAUUAAAAUACUUACAUGAAAUAAUAACAUGAUUUUAUGGAAAAGCCCAACAUACUACAUAUUUUAUUUGACUUGUAAAAGCACUUGUUUGUAUAUUACUACUAAUAAACUCUCUAAUCUAAUCUAUUGUACAUAGUCUUUAUUCUUAGCUUUGUUUUUUAGUAUAAAUUAAUAUGAUAUAAUAUUUGGUAUUAGGUAUUAUAUAGGUCACUAUUAAAUGUCUCAAAACCAUUAUACAGGCUAAAUACUCAUAAUACAAAUCUUAUAACCUACAAAAAACCUGCAACUCCUUCACAAUUUGAACAUCCUUGUAGUUUUAACUUUUUCGGCUAAAGCAAUACUGUCCCUUUGAAAAAGUCAGCAGCAUAGAAGUAUAUAUUAUGUGAUGUAAGUAAGUAAUGUAAAACUGAGUU